UCCAUCUCCAAUCUCAUCGUUCUCUCUCACUGCAAGACCUUGCCGCUCCUCCGCUCGUGUUGUACGACGAUCACCAUAACCAAGAAAACAUUUUUCAAUCUUUCCUUAAUGUCGUCUCUUUCGCAUCCCCUCUUCAUACUCCUUUCGACCGCCGUCUCUCCAGUAACUUCACUCAACCCAGACCCUCGAUCCCCUCCGCUAGACGCCUCUCUUGGGUUUCUCUUCAGGGGAGGCUCGUUAAGCCGAACAAGCCAGCUCCGUUCGAUCUAUUGGAGGCGGCUUUGGCCCUGACGAAGCCAUUGCUUGGCAGUUGUUCAGCCGCAUUGAACGGUUUCUUAUAGUUGUCGUCAUUGGUGUCGCGGUUUCUGAGCCAAGAGCAACCAUCAGAUCGGCCAGCUUAAACGAGCUGUUGAACUUAGGGAUCAAGUGCUUCUAAGCAUGCAACAGAAGCUUGAUGAUCUAUGUAAUCAAGUGAAUCCUGUUAAGGAUCAAUCUGGAACUGAAAAUGACUUUGAGAAAGAAUGCUGACUCUGGGAAUGAUAGAAUUAAGUUUGUUGAUUGUAGGUGUUGGCCUUGCGAUGAGCAUCUGGAUUUACUCAGUCCUUUGGAGAUUUCUCACAACAAUCUUUACUUCAUUGCUUCCAAUGCGUACUGAUUAUUUCUUAACUCCGGAGUGCGAAUGGAGGUUGCUGGUCAUGGAUUUAUCCCAAAUACCAUGAACAAGAUGAAUGAACAAGAGGCUACUCUACCAUGCACUCAAACAAAGUAAAAAACAGAAGCCAUAGGUAUAUAAGGUUAUGGAAAUGAAG
Cucumis melo (muskmelon) is the source of this 809-nucleotide long non-coding RNA. RefSeq lists it as uncharacterized. The record is from RefSeq and is a predicted model, not a curated record. The transcript has 4 exons. NCBI's taxonomy places the organism in Eukaryota, Viridiplantae, Streptophyta, Magnoliopsida, Cucurbitales, Cucurbitaceae.